Molecule: long non-coding RNA, 269 nt
Filed under: Macaca mulatta (Rhesus monkey)
Lineage: Eukaryota; Metazoa; Chordata; Mammalia; Primates; Cercopithecidae
Description: lncRNA (ENSMMUG00000055785.1)
Source: RNAcentral
AUUGCCACCUACUGGAACACCAGCACCAUUCCCUCAGGUUUUAUGGUCGAUAACAGUGACUCGUCAUUGGCCAGUGGAAGAAAUUGAAUGUUGCCAAUCACUAUAUUGCUGAAAGGAUUCUCCUAGGAUGAAGCAACCAUGAACGUUCCGUGCUCAGAAUUCCCUUUAAAAGAACCUUCGGCAGAAAGCAAAUUUAGCUGACAGCUUUCAGCUGCCACCAUUUUUGAUACAUCAAGGUAGUCAUCCAGGGCCACAUUUACCUUGCAUUG